RNAcentral lists this ribosomal RNA (257 nucleotides) under uncultured prokaryote. Its description in RNAcentral is "partial 16S ribosomal RNA". It matches the Rfam family "Bacterial small subunit ribosomal RNA", at positions 524 to 780 of the family's 1533-position model. The record is from RNAcentral.
UACGGAGGAUGCGAGCGUUAUCCGGAUUUAUUGGGUUUAAAUGGUGCGUAGGCGGCUUUUUAAGUCAGCGGUGAAAUUUUGCAGCUUAACUGUAACAGUGCCGUUGAUACUGGGGAGCUAGGAUUUGGUUGCUGUGGGUGGAAUGUGUGGUGUAGCGGUGAAAUGCUUAGAGAUCACACAGAAUAUCGAUUGCGAAGGCAGCUCACAAAGCCAAGAUUGACGCUGAGGCACGAAAGUGUGGGGAUCAAACAGGAUUA